ACUCCUACGGGAGGCAGCAGUGGGGAAUCUUGGACAAUGGGCGAAAGCCUGAUCCAGCGACGCCGCGUGAAGGAAGAAGUCCCUCGGGAUGUAAACUUCUGAACUAAUCGAAUAAAAGGGUAGUGGACACACUACAGAAGAAGGUAGGUUA
Molecule: ribosomal RNA, 151 nt
Filed under: uncultured Thermotogae bacterium
Lineage: Bacteria; Thermotogati; Thermotogota; Thermotogae
Description: partial 16S ribosomal RNA
Rfam family: Bacterial small subunit ribosomal RNA
Source: RNAcentral